Molecule: ribosomal RNA, 253 nt
Filed under: uncultured bacterium
Lineage: Bacteria
Description: partial 16S ribosomal RNA
Rfam family: Bacterial small subunit ribosomal RNA
Source: RNAcentral
UACGUAGGUGGCGAGCGUUGUCCGGAUUUACUGGGCGUAAAGAGCGCGCAGGCGGUCGUACAAGUCGCGUGUGAAAGCCCCUGGCUCAACUGGGGAGGGUCACGCGAUACUGUUCGACUCGAAGGCAGGAGAGGGAAGUUGAAUUCCCGGUGUAGUGGUGAAAUGCGUAGAUAUCGGGAGGAACACCAGUGGCGAAGGCGACUUCCUGGCCUGUUCUUGACGCUGAGGCGCGAAAGCUAGGGUAGCAAACGGG